GUCGAGCGAGCAGAACCAGCAGAUUUACUUCGGUAAUGACGCUGGGGACGCGAGCGGCGGAUGGGUGAGUAACACGUGGGGAACCUGCCCCAUAGUCUGGGAUACCACUUGGAAACAGGUGCUAAUACCGGAUAAGAAAGCAGAUCGCAUGAUCAGCUUAUAAAAGGCGGCGUAAGCUGUCGCUAUGGGAUGGCCCCGCGGUGCAUUAGCUAGUUGGUAAGGUAACGGCUUACCAAGGCAAUGAUGCAUAGCCGAGUUGAGAGACUGAUCGGCCACAUUGGGACUGAGACACGGCCCAAACUCCUACGGGAGGCAGCAGUAGGGAAUCUUCCACAAUGGACGCAAGUCUGAUGGAGCAACGCCGCGUGAGUGAAGAAGGUUUUCGGAUCGUAAAGCUCUGUUGUUGGUGAAGAAGGAUAGAGGUAGUAACUGGCCUUUAUUUGACGGUAAUCAACCAGAAAGUCACGGCUAACUACGUGCCAGCAGCCGCGGUAAUACGUAGGUGGCAAGCGUUGUCCGGAUUUAUUGGGCGUAAAGCGAGCGCAGGCGGAAGAAUAAGUCUGAUGUGAAAGCCCUCGGCUUAACCGAGGAACUGCAUCGGAAACUGUUUUUCUUGAGUGCAGAAGAGGAGAGUGGAACUCCAUGUGUAGCGGUGGAAUGCGUAGAUAUAUGGAAGAACACCAGUGGCGAANGCGACUCUCUGGUCUGCAACUGACGCUGAGGCUCGAAAGCAUGGGUAGCGAACAGGAU
This 750-nucleotide ribosomal RNA is filed under the name Lactobacillus helveticus. RNAcentral's name for it is "bacterial SSU rRNA". It matches the Rfam family "Bacterial small subunit ribosomal RNA", at positions 61 to 778 of the family's 1533-position model. The record is from RNAcentral. Lineage: Bacteria; Bacillati; Bacillota; Bacilli; Lactobacillales; Lactobacillaceae.